RNAcentral lists this small RNA (29 nucleotides) under Bombyx mori (domestic silkworm). Its description in RNAcentral is "ovarian small RNA-37559". The record is from RNAcentral. Lineage: Eukaryota; Metazoa; Arthropoda; Insecta; Lepidoptera; Bombycidae.
UUCUUACCGCGCGUGACGGUUUUGAACCC